CGGAUCGCUCACCCGGGGUAGACACGUCGUAUUCCUUAUCCACUCAACUACCCUCCCACUGCCGCCUUGCCUCCUCCUGCGACGCCGGCCGCCACGCCGUUCCUCUUUCGGGCAACGCCCCUCCGCCGCGCUCCUCCUCCCGGCAACGCAGCCGCCGCUCCGCUCCUGCUGCCGGCUACGCGCCCGCUGCCGCGCCCCUCCGGCCGCCUUCCGAUGACGUACGCCGUGCCCGGCAUGCGUCAGGCCGGUCCCGUCCUCCUGGCGACGCGAGCCGCGCCCGGCGGGCCUGCUCCCCUGCUUCCGUAUGCCCCGUAUGUUGCUGGCCGCCUCCUCCUCUUUUGCUUGCACAAGCGCCGUUGUGCCAUCCAUCUGCAGGUCACAGCCUCCUUCAGCAACAGGCCGAUGCUGCCGUGACCAUCCAUGGCGGCGAGUAAACCCGGCCGCGGCGGCCUCAGCCAAGUGCCCGUCCGCCGCACCCAGCGUCCCGAAGUAGCCGCCCUUCCGCUGUUCCACACCACGCGCGAUGGCCGCAUCAAUUCGAUUUGAUGUGCAUGCAUUCCGGUACCUGAUUUGACAGCCUCUCUGUCGAUUUUUGGUGCUUCUCUGUCAGCACGGCAUAGUGUUGCCUGCAUUUUUUUACGAUGCAUCAGCGUGUGUGGUCGCGUUGUACCCCUAGGCAACACUGGAUGCACGCAGGGAGCUUAGAUUAGGGGGCUGUGAGUUCUUGUGCAGUUCGCCGCAGGGGAUGAGGUUGCGCUUUUUGUGGUUUGUGCGGUUGCACGAGAUCUUGUACUUAGUUGGCUUCUGGAGCUGGCGAUGAAGCAUGGAGGAGCAAAAGAGCACGGAACACCGGCGUUGACGCACUGCUCCGUCAUCUCGCCGGGGCCGUCGUAUUCCCUAUUGCCUCCCUAACUCACCGUUCGCGAGCACCCCGCGGCCUCCGGCGUGCUUAAGCCGUCAUCGGAGCCUGCAAGCUGUGGCAACCUCCCAGCGCAUGGAUGCAUCGACCUUGAGUAGUGGUCGUCGCUACCAUCCCGUUCAUGGCAGACACUUUUUCCUCUCUUGUGUGUGUUUCUUUCUCUCGUGUGUGUGGAUUGUUACGUUUACUAGUUGGCUCAUGUCAGGUGGAUGGAUCUGUGUGUGGAUUGUUACGUUUACUAGUUGCCAAUAGUUCUUCUGUCAACUAAACAUCAA
Long non-coding RNA from Triticum dicoccoides, 1194 nucleotides. RefSeq lists it as uncharacterized. The record is from RefSeq and is a predicted model, not a curated record. The transcript has 2 exons. NCBI's taxonomy places the organism in Eukaryota, Viridiplantae, Streptophyta, Magnoliopsida, Poales, Poaceae.